UGAUUUCCUCUUGUUAGAGUCAAGUUUAUUAUGUUCUAGUGUACAAUUUUGUUCAUACUACUGUGGCUUUAGUUUUGCUGAUAGUUUCAUGCUAUGUGAUGGCCUUAUUUCAGUCACAAUUGAAUGAGGCUAUUUUAAGAGAGGAUUAUGGAGAAGCUGCAAAGCUGAAGUUGGCCAUAACUGGUGCUACAAAAAGGAUAUUGUUGGAGCAGCAUUGACUAUUAUGAAUAGAGCUAUAGAGGAAGAGCGAUACAUCGAUGCAACUUUCAUUCGUGAUCAUGUUGGGGCAGGACUGCUACAUGAAGCUAUUCACUCCAUUGAGCUUUAUUCAUUUUG
Long non-coding RNA from Zingiber officinale, 336 nucleotides. RefSeq lists it as uncharacterized. NCBI's taxonomy places the organism in Eukaryota, Viridiplantae, Streptophyta, Magnoliopsida, Zingiberales, Zingiberaceae. The record is from RefSeq and is a predicted model, not a curated record. The transcript has 3 exons.